Molecule: transfer RNA, 70 nt
Filed under: Urocitellus parryii (Arctic ground squirrel)
Lineage: Eukaryota; Metazoa; Chordata; Mammalia; Rodentia; Sciuridae
Also listed under: 1 other name
Description: Spermophilus parryii (Arctic ground squirrel) tRNA
Rfam family: tRNA
About the family: Transfer RNA (tRNA) molecules are approximately 80 nucleotides in length.
Source: Rfam by way of RNAcentral
GGAGAUAUAGCUCAGUUGGUAGAGUGCUUGUCUAGCAUGCACAAGGCUCUGGGUUCAAUCCCCAGCACCA